GCCCCUGUAGUAUAGCUUGGAUAGUACGCACGGUUGCGGUCCGUGAAACCGGAGUUCAAAUCUUCGCAGGGGCA
Molecule: transfer RNA, 74 nt
Filed under: Candidatus Woesearchaeota archaeon
Lineage: Archaea; Nanobdellati; Candidatus Woesearchaeota
Description: tRNA-Arg
Rfam family: tRNA
About the family: Transfer RNA (tRNA) molecules are approximately 80 nucleotides in length.
Source: RNAcentral